This 1347-nucleotide ribosomal RNA is filed under the name uncultured bacterium. RNAcentral describes it as "bacterial SSU rRNA". It matches the Rfam family "Bacterial small subunit ribosomal RNA", at positions 28 to 1381 of the family's 1533-position model. The record is from RNAcentral.
GACGAGCGCUGGCGGCGUGCUUAACACAUGCUAGUCGAACGAUGAAGCCUAGCUUGCUAGGUGGAUUAGUGGCGAACGGGUGAGUAAUACGUGAGUAACCUACCUUUAACUCUGGGAUAAGCCCGGGAAACUGGGUCUAAUACCGGAUACGACCAAUCUCCGCAUGGGGUGUUGGUGGAAAGCGUUAUGUAGUGGUUAUAGAUGGGCUCACGGCCUAUCAGCUUGUUGGUGAGGUAACGGCUCACCAAGGCGACGACGGGUAGCCGGCCUGAGAGGGUGACCGGCCACACUGGGACUGAGACACGGCCCAGACUCCUACGGGAGGCAGCAGUGGGGAAUAUUGCACAAUGGGCGCAAGCCUGAUGCAGCGACGCCGCGUGAGGGAUGACGGCCUUCGGGUUGUAAACCUCUGUUAGCAGGGAAGAAGAGAGAUUGACGGUACCUGCAGAGAAAGCGCCGGCUAACUACGUGCCAGCAGCCGCGGUAAUACGUAGGGCGCGAGCGUUGUCCGGAAUUAUUGGGCGUAAAGAGCUUGUAGGCGAUUUGUCGCGUCUGCUGUGAAGGCCGGAGCUUAACUCCGUGUAUUGCAGUGGGUACGGGCAGACUAGAGUGCAGUAGGGGAGACUGGAAUUCCUGGUGUAGCGGUGGAAUGCGCAGAUAUCAGGAGGAACACCGAUGGCGAAGGCAGGUCUCUGGGCUGUAACUGACGCUGAGAAGCGAAAGCAUGGGGAGCGAACAGGAUUAGAUACCCUGGUAGUCCAUGCCGUAAACGUUGGGCACUAGGUGUGGGGAACAUUCCACGUUUUCCGCGCCGUAGCUAACGCAUUAAGUGCCCCGCCUGGGGAGUACGGCCGCAAGGCUAAAACUCAAAGAAAUUGACGGGGGCCCGCACAAGCGGCGGAGCAUGCGGAUUAAUUCGAUGCAACGCGAAGAACCUUACCAAGGCUUGACAUAUACUGGACCGCAUCAGAGAUGGUGUUUCCCUUCGGGGCUGGUAUACAGGUGGUGCAUGGUUGUCGUCAGCUCGUGUCGUGAGAUGUUGGGUUAAGUCCCGCAACGAGCGCAACCCUCGUUCUAUGUUGCCAGCACGUUAUGGUGGGGACUCAUAGGAGACUGCCGGGGUCAACUCGGAGGAAGGUGGGGAUGACGUCAAAUCAUCAUGCCCCUUAUGUCUUGGGCUUCACGCAUGCUACAAUGGCCGGUACAGAGGGUUGCGAUACUGUGAGGUGGAGCUAAUCCCUAAAAGCCGGUCUCAGUUCGGAUUGGGGUCUGCAACUCGACCCCAUGAAGUCGGAGUCGCUAGUAAUCGCAGAUCAGCAACGCUGCGGUGAAUACGUUCCCGGGCCU